AUGUUUGGUUCAGCCUUGACCUAUGUCAGUUUGAGAUUGCUUGGAGAGGGAACAGAUAGUGGAUAUGGAGCUAUGGAGAAAGGUCGAAAUUGGAUUCUAGACCAUGGAGGAGCAACGUUUGUAACAUCAUGGGGAAAAUUUUGGCUCUCGGUACUUGGUGUAUUUGAUUGGUCUGGUAACAACCCAGUGCCACCAGAAGCAUGGUUGCUACCAUAUUGCCUGCCAUUUCAUCCAGGGCGAAUGUGGUGUCACUGUCGAAUGGUGUAUUUGCCAAUGUGUUACAUUUAUGGAAAGAGAUUUGUCGGACAAGUUACGCCACUUGUUUUGGAAUUGAGAAAGGAACUUUACAAAGGCCCCUAUAAUGAGAUUGAUUGGGACAAGACUCGCAAUCAAUGUGCUAAGUUUACAACUUUCUGGUGCCGAAACAGCAGACGCAGGAAUCAGCGGGUAAAAGUGCACAUAGAGUGGGCAUAUCAGCACAUCUCCAAAUGA
RNAcentral lists this ribosomal RNA (492 nucleotides) under Triticum aestivum (bread wheat). RNAcentral's name for it is "partial small subunit ribosomal RNA". Lineage: Eukaryota; Viridiplantae; Streptophyta; Magnoliopsida; Poales; Poaceae. The record is from RNAcentral.